GGCAAGGUGGCCGAGCGGUCUAAGGCGCGCGGUUAAGGCUUCCUAACUCCGAUCCCUCUCUUGAUCUUAUCAAGUUUCCGCGUCAUUCAUUUGGCGUGGGUUCGAAUCCCACCCUUGUCA
Aspergillus sydowii CBS 593.65 is the source of this 120-nucleotide non-coding RNA. Lineage: Eukaryota; Fungi; Ascomycota; Eurotiomycetes; Eurotiales; Aspergillaceae. The record is from Rfam.